AUAGGUGUAGUUUCAAUAACAUUAAGUUUCGGCCUUAAAAAAUUAAUAUUCUUAUUAACUCCUAAA
RNAcentral lists this transfer RNA (66 nucleotides) under Pupilla muscorum. RNAcentral's name for it is "tRNA-Arg". Lineage: Eukaryota; Metazoa; Mollusca; Gastropoda; Stylommatophora; Pupillidae. The record is from RNAcentral.